This 343-nucleotide unclassified non-coding RNA is filed under the name Hevea brasiliensis (rubber tree). Lineage: Eukaryota; Viridiplantae; Streptophyta; Magnoliopsida; Malpighiales; Euphorbiaceae. The record is from RNAcentral.
GACGCCUUGUUGGCCGGUGGGCGCCGAACGCAGCAAGCACUACUCGGUCAACAUUAUUACGCCCUCCGCGCACGUUAGCCACAAACCCCCUUUAGCGGUGGCCUCCUCUCUCUCUCUCUCUAGAUCUCCCCCCCUCCCUUUUAACCUAAACAUUUUUUUCAUUAUGCCUCCGUUUUCCUCCGCCGCCACCAACCACCACCACAGCCACAACCCCUUUUCCUUCUUCUCUUUUUCUAUUAUAAAUCUGAACCGGUUAACUAAUUCUGGGUGUUUACUGAUUUUGAGAGAUUCGAUAUUAUUCUGUAAUACCCACAACAAUGGCGACUUUUUCUCCAUCAACUCG